Transfer RNA from Ovis aries (sheep), 72 nucleotides. It matches the Rfam family "tRNA". Rfam says of the family: Transfer RNA (tRNA) molecules are approximately 80 nucleotides in length. Their secondary structure includes four short double-helical elements and three loops (D, anti-codon, and T loops). NCBI's taxonomy places the organism in Eukaryota, Metazoa, Chordata, Mammalia, Artiodactyla, Bovidae. The record is from Rfam.
UCCCUGGUGGCUCAGAGGUUAAAGCAUCUGCCUCCAAUUCAGGAGACCUGGGUUCGAUCCCUGGGUCGGGAA